RNAcentral lists this ribosomal RNA (460 nucleotides) under uncultured bacterium. RNAcentral describes it as "partial 16S ribosomal RNA". It matches the Rfam family "Bacterial small subunit ribosomal RNA", at positions 338 to 795 of the family's 1533-position model. The record is from RNAcentral.
CCUACGGGCGGCUGCAGUGAGGAAUAUUGGUCAAUGGACGAGAGUCUGAACCAGCCAAGUAGCGUGAAGGAUGACUGCCCUAUGGAUUGUAAACUUCUUUUAUAUGGGAAUAAAACGUUCCACGUGUGGGAUUUUGUAUGUACCAUAUGAAUAAGGAUCGGCUAACUCCGUGCCAGCAGCCGCGGUAAUACGGAGGAUCCGAGCGUUAUCCGGAUUUAUUGGGUUUAAGGGGAGCGUAGGUGGAUUGUUAAGUCAGUUGUGAAAGUUUGCGGCUCAACCGUAAAAUUGCAUGUGAAACUGGCAGUCUGGAGUACGGUAGAGGUGGGCGGAAUUCGUGGUGUAGCGGUGAAAUGCUUAGAUAUCACGAAGAACUCCGAUUGCGAAGGCAAUUCACUGGACUGCAACUGACACUGAGGCUCGAAAGUGUGGGUAUCAAACAGGAUUAGAUACCCCUGUAGUC